UGUUCUUUAAUUUUAAGAGUCCAGGAUAUGUUUUGUUUAUGUUCUUAAGGCUCAAACGGCUCUUGGGUAAAUCAAAUGGACUCAGAUUUGACAGACAGGCCAACAGGUGCCUCGCGUGCCGACAGCCACGAGAAACACCUGAGAUUCGCCGCGCGCGUUGGGAACCGUGUCGAGGCGUGAAGAGCUUCCAGACAGUACACAAGUGCAACAUGACAGGCACGCAGUGGUCUAGAGGUUUCUCAAGGACCCAGAUAGGAAUGAUGACAAUAGGGAUUGUAAUUGAAUUCUACUUCGGUGAUGAAGCAAAUGUCAUUACUUUUACUGCCGACUUAUUUUGGGCCAUUUAAAGUCCACUUUAAGGUUUGUUUUAUAUAGAUUUUAUAGAGUACUCUGGCGUGGAAGCAUAUCUCCCUCUAGUGGUUACAAUGUGUGAUGUGGUGCCACAGGGCCCAGUGAUCUUCUUGCUUAUACAGGAAGCCCGUUUUCACCAAGGGAAGUGAGGUCUGUUUAGAAGCGAUUCAUGUCCUCAGUCAUUAGCGUAAUGGAAGAAUGCCCCACUGUGAAGACCUACAAAGGCAGUCCGUUGAGGCCACAAACACGGAGCAGAGGAUAAAUCU
Long non-coding RNA from Carassius carassius (crucian carp), 617 nucleotides. RefSeq lists it as uncharacterized. The record is from RefSeq and is a predicted model, not a curated record. The transcript is spliced from 3 exons. NCBI's taxonomy places the organism in Eukaryota, Metazoa, Chordata, Actinopteri, Cypriniformes, Cyprinidae.